Long non-coding RNA from Mus spicilegus (steppe mouse), 1080 nucleotides. NCBI's taxonomy places the organism in Eukaryota, Metazoa, Chordata, Mammalia, Rodentia, Muridae. The record is from Ensembl.
AGGCCUCUUAGCAACAGGGAUGUGAGUGUCAUUUACAGGUUCUGCAACCCGGGAGAGGUGCCCUGCCAGAACCAAUCUACUCAUUGGCUUCUGAGUUCCUGGCUGGUGUGAACUGUGGUCCUUGCUGAGUGACUGAGAAGGUGUCUCCCCCGCCACCACCAUCCUGAGUGAGAGCAGCUAUCAGGUCACCACAAGUUCAUUGAAGUUGAUUUUACCUUGGGUGUGGGGCUUGUUUGGAGUGAUUGUGCCUGGAGCAAAGAAGCCCUCCUGGAGACAUCCGGUCUUCUGCUGUCCUCAUAGCCACAGUGUUAUCAGAGAGGUCAGAAAGUAUCCAAACAAGGAGGCUGUGGGAAGGCAAUCUGAUCGGCUUCUGGAGAACAGCCUGGCUCCGUUCCCCACUCCACGCUACUAGAUGGGAAGGAAAGAACCUGCCAUUCAAAACCAGAACAGCCUGUUCCCUGUGUGCUCACUCAUUCACAGAGCAGAACACCAAGAUAUCUGUUGGUUUUCUUGAUUUCAUACUCUCGAUUCUCCACGUAACCUUACCUUGAACACCCACUGACGGGGGAAGCCAGAACUGUCUGUUGCUGUCUGUGGUGUAAAUGCUGCCUUACACAGCAAAAAUUACCCUCUGGAGGUGCGAUUGAAUUGUGGGUCUCGUAGUGGAGACAACCUGGAAUGUGCAGGUGAGCUCAAUGUAAUCACAAGGUUUCUUCUCAGAAAGACAGAAGGAGCAGAGGUAGUAGGAGGAGACAUGAGCAUGAGGGGAUGGAGGGAAUGUUGCCAGUCUUGAGAAGAAAACGGAUCCUCCCCAGAAACUUCCAGAAGGAGUCAAUCCUGGAGAUACAAUCUCAUCAGUGGAAAUGACUUCAGACAUUUUAGAUCUGGAAGUGCAGGGCUGUAUAUUUGUGCUGUUCUGAGUCACUAACUUUGUGGCAAUCUGUUACAGCAGCAACAGGAAACUAAUGUGCCACUUGACUAAACCAUAAGCCUACUAUUUGUGUGUUCCCUUCUAAAAGAUAGAAAAAUAAGAACACAGAGCACGUGACAGUGAUUCCUGUUAGCUUAGCAUUGUGGAAA